RNAcentral lists this ribosomal RNA (200 nucleotides) under uncultured bacterium. Its description in RNAcentral is "partial 16S ribosomal RNA". It matches the Rfam family "Bacterial small subunit ribosomal RNA", at positions 30 to 230 of the family's 1533-position model. The record is from RNAcentral.
AUUGAACGCUGGCGGCAUGCCUUACACAUGCAAGUCGAACGGCAGCACGGAGCUUGCUCUGGUGGCGAGUGGCGAACGGGUGAGUAAUAUAUCGGAACGUACCCUGGAGUGGGGGAUAACGUAGCGAAAGUUACGCUAAUACCGCAUACGAUCUACGGAUGAAAGUGGGGGACCGCAAGGCCUCAUGCUCGCGGAGCGGC